GGCUUGUCUGAUAAUAGGGGGUUAUCAGAUGUUAACUUAUUAACAUUAGUGUCACUAAAGGUGGUAUGCACCCACCCCCUGCUAAAUUUAACUGGCUUUAA
This 101-nucleotide Y RNA is filed under the name Callithrix jacchus (white-tufted-ear marmoset). Its description in RNAcentral is "Y RNA (ENSCJAG00000073824.1)". It matches the Rfam family "Y RNA". Rfam says of the family: Y RNAs are components of the Ro ribonucleoprotein particle (Ro RNP), in association with Ro60 and La proteins. The Y RNAs and Ro60 and La proteins are well conserved, but the function of the Ro RNP is not known. In humans the RNA component can be one of four small RNAs -- hY1, hY3, hY4 and hY5. The record is from Rfam by way of RNAcentral. Lineage: Eukaryota; Metazoa; Chordata; Mammalia; Primates; Cebidae.